UACAGAGGGUGCGAGCGUUGUCCGGAAUCACUGGGCGUAAAGGGCGCGUAGGCGGCCUUCUAAGUCAGACGUGAAAUCCCCCGGCUUAACCUGGGAACUGCGUCUGAUACUGGGAGGCUAGAGUGCGGGAGAGGGAUGCGGAAUUCCAGGUGUAGCGGUGAAAUGCGUAGAUAUCUGGAGGAACACCGGUGGCGAAGGCGGCAUCCUGGACCGACACUGACGCUGAGGCGCGAAAGCUAGGGUAGCAAACGGG
Molecule: ribosomal RNA, 253 nt
Filed under: uncultured bacterium
Lineage: Bacteria
Description: partial 16S ribosomal RNA
Rfam family: Bacterial small subunit ribosomal RNA
Source: RNAcentral